Molecule: transfer RNA, 94 nt
Filed under: Cellulomonas oligotrophica
Lineage: Bacteria; Bacillati; Actinomycetota; Actinomycetes; Micrococcales; Cellulomonadaceae
Description: tRNA-Pro
Rfam family: tRNA (bases 2-73)
About the family: Transfer RNA (tRNA) molecules are approximately 80 nucleotides in length. Their secondary structure includes four short double-helical elements and three loops (D, anti-codon, and T loops). Further hydrogen bonds mediate the characteristic L-shaped molecular structure. tRNAs have two regions of fundamental functional importance: the anti-codon, which is responsible for specific mRNA codon recognition, and the 3' end, to which the tRNAs corresponding amino acid is attached (by aminoacyl-tRNA synthetases). tRNAs cope with the degeneracy of the genetic code in two manners: having more than one tRNA (with a specific anti-codon) for a particular amino acid; and 'wobble' base-pairing, i.e. permitting non-standard base-pairing at the 3rd anti-codon position.
Source: RNAcentral
UCAGCGUGUAGCUCAGCAGCAGAGCACCGGGCUUGGGACUCGGAGGGCGCAGGGGCAGCACCUGCCGCGCUGGCUCGGUCCGCCCACCUCGGGC